This 376-nucleotide ribosomal RNA is filed under the name uncultured bacterium. Its description in RNAcentral is "bacterial SSU rRNA". It matches the Rfam family "Bacterial small subunit ribosomal RNA", at positions 28 to 405 of the family's 1533-position model. The record is from RNAcentral.
GAUGAACGCUAGCGGCAGGCCUAACACAUGCAAGUCGAGGGGCAGCACGUCUUCGGAUGGUGGCGACCGGCGCACGGGUGCGUAACGCGUAUGCAACCUACCUCUUACAGUGGGAUAGCCCAGAGAAAUUUGGAUUAAUACCGCAUAGUAUACAGAUUCAGCAUUGGGACUGUAUUAAACAUUUAUGGGUAAGAGAUGGGCAUGCGUUCUAUUAGUUAGUUGGAGUGGUAACGGCACCCCAAGACAGCGAUAGAUAGGGGCCCUGAGAGGGGGAUCCCCCACACUGGUACUGAGACACGGACCAGACUCCUACGGGAGGCAGCAGUGAGGAAUAUUGGACAAUGGGCGAGAGCCUGAUCCAGCCAUGCCGCGUGCA